UACGUAGGAGACGAGCGUUGUCCGGAAUUACUGGGCGUAAAGCGCGUGUAGGCGGAUGGGCAAGUCUGCUGUGAAAGCUCCUGGCUUAACCGGGAGUGGUCGGUGGAAACUGCCAAUCUGGAGGACGGUAGAGGUAGGUAGAAUUCCCGGUGUAGUGGUGAAAUGCGUAGAGAUCGGGGAGGAAUACCUGUGGCGAAGGCGGCCUACUGGGCCGGACCUGACGCUGAGACGCGAAGGCGUGGGGAGCGAACGGGG
This 255-nucleotide ribosomal RNA is filed under the name uncultured bacterium. RNAcentral's name for it is "partial 16S ribosomal RNA". It matches the Rfam family "Bacterial small subunit ribosomal RNA", at positions 524 to 777 of the family's 1533-position model. The record is from RNAcentral.